This 28-nucleotide small RNA is filed under the name Bombyx mori (domestic silkworm). Its description in RNAcentral is "ovarian small RNA-13967". The record is from RNAcentral. Lineage: Eukaryota; Metazoa; Arthropoda; Insecta; Lepidoptera; Bombycidae.
CCUCCAGUUACCGUCCGGUCACGCUGCU